RNAcentral lists this transfer RNA (72 nucleotides) under Cuscuta macrocephala. RNAcentral describes it as "tRNA-Arg". It matches the Rfam family "tRNA". From Rfam's summary of the family: Transfer RNA (tRNA) molecules are approximately 80 nucleotides in length. Their secondary structure includes four short double-helical elements and three loops (D, anti-codon, and T loops). The record is from RNAcentral. Lineage: Eukaryota; Viridiplantae; Streptophyta; Magnoliopsida; Solanales; Convolvulaceae.
GCGUCCAUUGUCUAAUGGAUAGGACAUGGGUCUUCUAAACCUUUGGUAUAGGUUCAAAUCCUAUUGGGCGCG